GGGCUAAAGGAAAGAAGAGCUGGCGCAUGUAAGGUAUUGCAGUUCCCAGGUCUCUAACAGAUCCAGGGCAUCCGUAUACACUGAUGGUCUGGAAUAAGAUAUCUGAAGCACAGUGGCACAUGAAAAGAAAGAAAUGGAAAGAUUACAUACUCUGUCGUAUUUGAGGGAAUUUUGGAUACAGAAAUAUCAGUAUCUUUCUGAUGCUUGAAAAUAUAUCAUGAAAAAUGUGAACAUAGACUGAAAAAGUAGCCAGAGGAGCACAUCGUGAAAGGGAAGACUAUAUUCCAGGGAGUGAAAGAGAAGUACAGCAAGACAUGAACGAAGAGAAUCCAAUCUCUCAGUUGCCAGUAUAAAAUGCUAGGGAUCAAGCAUAGAACAUGCACUGAGCUAAGAAGUCAGAGGGAAAGCACUCAGGAGAAAA
This is a non-coding RNA of Manis javanica (Malayan pangolin), 421 nucleotides long. The record is from RefSeq and is a predicted model, not a curated record. NCBI's taxonomy places the organism in Eukaryota, Metazoa, Chordata, Mammalia, Pholidota, Manidae.